UCCAAAAGGAAAUAAAACAUUUGUAGAGCACCUAUGUUCUGCGAAUCGUGGCCUCUUUCUACAGCAGAUACACAAUAGGAGGGACUGGGAUCAUUCGAGGAGCGAGCCAUCGUUCACACAUACAAUAAAUAGCCUGCUAAUACCUUAGCUAGCUAUUAACCACAUGUUGAAUUCAGAAUGUUGAUAUCAUCCUAAAAAGUACAAUUACAAGUGCAUCUUAACAAUACCAUCCACUUAUGAGUAACCUCUAAAUACACAUCAUUAUUCAUGAACAAAACACUGUGUGUAUGACUUUGUACUGAAAAUAAUCUAACUUUUCUGAAGACAUAAAAAGCGUGACUACCUCUCUCAGUACAUCAAAAUGAUUUGAGCACGCAGGGCAAAACGUAAGAACACACUCCACUUCAGCCAGGAUGCAGGCAUGCAUAAUAACAAAUCAACACGAUAUAUUAAUAUAUGAACCUGGUGAAAUUCACAUAGUACUUUAACAACUGUUACAUAUGCAUACUAUAUACAUAUGUAUUUACAACAUUUACAAACCAACAGCCUGCAUUCAUCCAGUUUGUAUAAAUUAUGAUAGAUAUGUGACAUGAAGCUAUAUUGGGCAAUUUGGGCAAAGGAGUAACAAUGACUGUCUCGGACAAAUAGACAUUUGGCUUAAAACAUUUAUUAAUUCAUGGGCAAUAUGUGUGCAUGCCCUGAUCAUAUCAGCUUACUACAUCUGUCUUCCCUCACCAAACCCAUCAAUGAUUUGAUUUAUUUGACUAUAAUAUAUCAAUUAUGGCCAACAGAGGGCAACAUUUAUCCAUAUAAUACGAUAUAACCUCACCGAACCUAAAUUAAUUGGGUUACACUGUAAAAAAAAUUCAGAUAUCGUAUGUGAUCAGAAACAAUGCAUUAAUUUCCCGGAGUGGUCGCUCUGUGCUUUUGUAGUUGACGUAAUAAUGUACGAUGAGAUAUAGAAGCCUAUGACGUAAACGAACUCAAGAAAAUGUUCAGUGCGCUACUUUUGCCUCAGUUGAGUUGAUGCUUUGCAAAGGACAGUCAUCCUCAUGUUCAAAUAAAUCACUUUGAGUGGACAAAGAAGACAUUCUGUGUGAGUACAGCAUAACUGGCCAAGAUGUUGUAAAAAAAAUGUUUGAAAUGUAUUUUAAAAUGUAUUUGUUUAUUUGAAAAAAUGUCAGGUCCAAUCUGAAGGGUGCCUGAAAGCACAAUGGAUAGAAAUCAUAAACCGUUGAGAAAAAUUAUUCUAAAAGCUGGGACCCUCCAAGCUAGUGCUGGAGAGCAGGUCCCCCAGACAGACAUCACUGACCAUGAUGGAAAGGCAGAUGCCCAUUCCGCUGGCCAUGAUGGACUUAGCCUGCCAGCCCUGGUCGACUGCCUCCAGGGUAGCCCUCGAAUGGCAGAUGCCCAUUCCGCUGGCCAUGAUGGACUUAGCCUGCCAGCCCUGGUAGACUGCCUCCAGGAUAGCCCUCGAAAGGCAGAUGUCCAUUCGGCUGGCCAUGAUGGACUAAGCCUGCCAGCCCUGGUCGACUGCCUCCAGGAUAGCCCUCGAAAGGCAGAUGCCCAUUCCGCUGGCCAUGAUGGACUUAGCCUGCCAGCCCUGGUAGACUGCCUCCAGGAUAGCCCUCGAAAGGCAGAUGUCCAUUCCGCUGGCCAUGAUGGACUAAGCCUGCCAGCCCUGGUAGACUGCCUCCAGGAUAGCCCACGAAAGAACCUUGUGCCGAAGCCCCCGCAAGGCCCCAGGCCCAGCCGAGAGGCAAAUAUAUCAAAGGCAGAAAAUAAGGCCACAGAGGUUAUCAAGGCUAGAAGGUCUAGGGAGGCUAAGUCAGGGGUGAAAAAACUAAGCCACCAAGUAGUUGGUAUGUUGGCACUGCCUCAAACUCUAACUCAAACAACCAGUUACAGUGUCCUGCCAGCUAUCAAGAAGGGCACUAAAGUUACCCUCCAGUCCUCCAGCUCCCUCUCCGAUGACAACAAGGAGGCACUAGGGGCCGUCUGCCAGGUCCUGACCACCAGGGUGGGAGACAACAGUACCUGCAACGACGAUUACAAAGCCAGGCUCAUCAUCCAGAAAGGAUUGGAUUCCGGUGCCAGGGAUAGGUUCCCUGACUCUCCGUGUUCCUCUUCACCCAAGGACGAAGAGGAGGUGGUUGUAAGUGUCAUGACUGUCUCAUACCCUAAACCCUCCACUUCAACCCAGGCAGCAUGGGCAGCUCCUGCCCAGACUCUGGAAAAAGAGGUGGGGGGGACUGAGGUCUCUGAGAUGAGUGACAGCUCCCUGAUGCCCACCAAGAACAGGCAGGACCCCCUGGAGAAGAUUCCCUCCCUCCUACCAGGCAAGGAGCACAUCCUCCUUUGCAGCACUCCCUGGGCCACCGUCAUGAGCCCCCAGACUCUGAAGUUUAUUCUCCACGGCAUCAUGUGUCGACUGGAGGCCUCAGAGUCCCCCCAGACAAGGAGGGCCAAUGACCCCUUCAGGCUGAUGAAGGAUCUCUUUGUGGAGGUCCAGCAUGCCCUGAAGUAUGCUGACAUCUCUGUCGUCUUUGGCCUGGAGGAGAGCAUCCAAUUCAGUGGUGAGGAUGCGGUGAAGGCCAUCGUGAAGACUGCGGCUAAAAGAUUGUCCCUGCGUUCGGACUCCAACCGGGCUCAACUGCGUGCCGCACGCUCUGGUAGCGAGGGAGCCAUCAGGUGCAUGGCGGACACCAUCACACAAGUCAUAGAGGACUGGAGUUUCGAAGGCCAUUUUGGAGCCAGGAGGAGCCGUGGUAGUGGGAGGUCACACUCCUCAACCUCCUCAAGGAGUGACGUCACCCUCACCGAGGAGCUCCUGGCUUGGAGGGAAACUCUAGAAGAGGACCUAGAGGAGAUGGCUGAUGACAGCACUGGUUUGGAAAAGACCAGGGGGAGCUCAGCCAUCUCUGAAAAGUCCCAGGUAAUUAGCUACCUUUCUGAAAGCACCAAGCCCAUCAGCAGCGCCCUCUCCACAGACCUCGAGGACAUCACCUCCACACAGGUGAGACGGCCAAGAACCAGUAGAUCGUUUAGUUAUUUGGGCUGUUUGAUUGUGAGGCAUCGACUCAUGUCUGUUUCUCUCUUUACUAAGAAGAAAGAAAAGGAAGAGCCUAUGAAGAAAGAAGUGAGGAAGUCAGGAAAGAAGAAGCGAGGAAAUAACAAGAACCAGAAGAAGAACAAGGUGUCUCCUCUUGGCAAUGAUAGUACUGUGGUUGCAGAUGAGCCUAAGAAAAAACAGGCUCUCCUCCCACGGAUUACAGCCGCCCUGGCAAAACUAUUUUGCUUCCCCUGCAAAAAAAAAAUGCAAAAGUAACUGUGCAGAAGACGAGUUUGGGAAAACCCUGCUGCCACCUCCCCCAACCCACUUUCUAAAUAAACUCUCAAAGCCAACAGAAGAGGGAGGGAGACCCCCCCUACUCACAACUAAUUUUAUUAUACCCCAUUUAAUUCAAUAAACACAACUUGCAGCUAUUUUGAUUUUCUUCUUCUUGAGUUUUUGUUUUACAGACCCACCUGCACGCUAUAGAUUCUUAAGGUCAAUUUGCUGUCUACUGUCUACUACAGUAUCAUUGUUAUGAGUAUGUUCACUGUGCCAGUCAUUAUAGCCAGUAUAGGCUAUAAUAAAGCCCUAACCUAAUUGCAAUUGACAUAAUAAGAGUUACAUUUGAAUAAUUCCCUCAUUUUAUAUAUAUAUUUUUAGAGGGAAUAAAUCUCUAAAGCACUAUAGAGUGCCGUCCCUAGGAGGGGUGCGUCACUUGAGUGGGUUGAGUCACUGAUGUGAUCUUCCUGUCUGAGUUGGCGCCCCCCUUGGGUUGUGCCGUGGCGGAGAUCUUUGUGGGCUAUACUCGGCCUUUUCUCAGGAUGGUAAGUUGGUGGUUGAAGAUAUCCCUCUAGUGGUGUGGGGGCUGUGCUUUGGCAAAGUGGGUGGGUUUAUAUCCUUCCUGUUUGGCCCUGUCCAGGGGUAUCAUCGGAUGGGGCCACAGUGUCUCCUGACCCUACCUGUCUCAGCCUCCAGUAUUUAUGCUGCAGUAGUUUAUGUGUCGGGGUGCUAGGGUCAGUUUGUUAUAUCUGGAGUACUUCUCCUGUCUUAUCCGGUGUCCUGUGUGAAUUGAAGUAGGCUCUCUCGAAUUCUCUCUUUCUUUCACUCUCUCGGAGGACCUGAGCCCUAGGACCAUGCCUCAGGACUACCUGGCAUGAUCACUCCUUGCUGUCCCCAAUCCACCUGGCCGUGCUGCUGCUCCAGUUUCAACUGUUCUGCCUGCGGCUAUGGAAUCCUGACCUGUUCACCGGACGUGCUACCUGUCCCAGACCUAUAAUUUGACCAUGCUGGUCAUUUAUGAACAUUUGAACAUCUUGGCCAUGUUCUGUUAUAAUCUUCAUCAGAGGUUACUCUGCGACAGCGGUGCUGAUACUGCUUAAUUUCUCUCUUGUCGACUUAAUACAGUGGUCUUCAUUUGCAUCUUUCCGGAAAGCGAAUAAGCCCCUCAAAUGGAAAGGGAAGGCAACAAAAAAGAAAAUAGCCGAAAUAGCCUACAGUUUUACCCACAGAAAUAAGAGGACACAUUGUAGCCUCUUCGCUUGCGCGGCUCCAUUGCAUAUAUCGUUAUACAAUCGUUGCAAUGUUUUGAAUAGCCUUCUUCUAUCACAUUGCACUGCAAGACAUAGGAUUGAACUGACAUUUGAAUUGGUGACAGAUACUGGAGCAUCAUCUGCAGCACGAGAGCCUGUUGUACAGGUAGCAGCCAUAGGCAUUAGCAUAUUGGCCUGAAAUCCGUGCUAAGUGCCAUCACACAAACCGAAACAGGCAAAAGCCUAGUAAUUACAUCCUCAGCCAGUUCUUUGUAGCCUAUACAACGCAGGUUAUUUGUCCUUCAGAUGUAUUCUUUUUGCUAGUGAAGGCAUGUUACAGCCGUUAGAAUAUUGUAGUCAGAAAUGGGUGUCCCUUGGGUUGGCUCUACUCCAAAAGAUGAGAGCGAAAGAUCUCAAACAUUUUAUUAUGGAAGAGGUAUUAUGGCUGACUAUAAAAAAGUGAAGUAUUCUGCCCCAAGCAUCUGCAUUCAGUCUUUUUGGGGACUACUUUUCAAAUAAUAAAUUACCUUGCAUUUCAGGCUAAUUAUUUUUUAUAUUAUAAACGCUAGAAUAGAACAGACUAGAGACAUGCACCACCAAGUGAAAGCGCGGGGUAGAUUUCACCAGCACAGGGUGUGUUGAGUGAGAAAGUCAUUUCUUUUAACCUUAUCUAGGAAAUGCACUCAACAUACAGAGAGUGAAACACUAACUCUCUAGAAAACAAUGACCUGAUCUUCACACAUCCUCAUGACCUUGUUUUGAAAUUAAACACUAUACGAGAUUAACACACACGGAUGGGACAUUUGAACAUUACAGCUCAGUAAAAGUGACAGUUGGCAUUUACACACAGCUGUGUAAACCUCACUUCUUUCUCAUUAUCCCUGCUACUUGCUGUUGUUAUGGCAAUCCAUGCUAAGGUGAACUGAAUGAAUGGUAAACUAAUAUGCCUUUGUGAUGUUGUCAGAUUAAGUCUUUGUGUUUUACACCGGCUUGGCUGUGGCAUGCUUCUGCUGUACAAAACUGCUGAAUGCCACAAUAAGGACCGUAGUAGGAGGGAGGGAUAUCAUAAACCUGUCCUGAUGUCUGUGUCUGUCUGUCUGUCUCUGCAUCUCGGAGGUUCUGUCUAUCUGUUCGUCACACCGACUCUCUCACUGUGGUUGGUUGUAGCGAUCAGCAGAGGCCUGCCCUGUGCUGAAGGUUCCACUCCAUUAUCCUGUUGACGCUGAGAUACUGGGAGCAACUCCAUGACCUGACAUAUCAAGUCUAAAACUCCAGUAUCCUGCCCUACUGCAGCUACUACAAGCUCCCUUCUAGUCUGUUGUUCAUAUUAUUUUGGAAGCACUUUACAUUACAGCACGGAAUAAAGCGGAAAUGGAAUGGCAACUGGUUAAAGUUACUCACAAAGCAAACCAUUAUUUGCCCAGAUACAGGAUGCUACAGAUCAGUAUAACUGUAUUGUUUCCAAGACAUCAUAUACUAGAGGGGUGAUAAUAUUACAAAAACAACAUUGCAAUGUUUCCUCUAAAAUUCCCCAAAUGUCUUGGCAUGGGGCCCCCAAUUGAUUUUGUUAUAAUGUUUGAGUCACUCAGAUACACUAUAUAUACAAAAGUAUGUGGACACCACUUCAUAUUAGUGGAUUCGGAGAGUUCAGCAACAUCCUUUGCUGACAGAUGUAAAAAUUGAGCACACAGUCAUGCAAUCUCUGUCACGCCUUGGUCUUAGUAUUUUGUGUUUUCUUUAUUUAUUUGGUCAGGCCAGGGUGUGACAUGGGUUAUUGUGGUGUGUUUUUUGUCUUGGGGUUUUGUGGGGUGUCUAAUUAGUCUAUGGCUGCCUGAGGCGGUUCUCAAUCAGAGUCAGGUGAUUACCGUUGUCUCUGAUUGGGAGCCAUAUUUAGGCAGCCAUAUUCUGUGAGUGUUUUCGUGGGUGAUUGUUCCUGUCUUUGUGUUUGCACCAGAUAGGGCUGUUUCGGUUUUCACUUUUUCUUUAUUUUGUAGUUUCCGCUUGUAUUGUUUUUUCCUUCAUUAAAAUUAUAUCAUGAAUCAUCA
Oncorhynchus keta (chum salmon) is the source of this 6629-nucleotide RNA transcript. It is a transcript of the gene named serine-rich adhesin for platelets-like, with no coding region annotated. NCBI's taxonomy places the organism in Eukaryota, Metazoa, Chordata, Actinopteri, Salmoniformes, Salmonidae. The record is from RefSeq and is a predicted model, not a curated record. The transcript is spliced from 9 exons.